Selaginella moellendorffii is the source of this 749-nucleotide long non-coding RNA. RefSeq lists it as uncharacterized. Lineage: Eukaryota; Viridiplantae; Streptophyta; Lycopodiopsida; Selaginellales; Selaginellaceae. The record is from RefSeq and is a predicted model, not a curated record. The transcript has 4 exons.
AGCAUCCAUUGGAGGUAAGAUUGUAACUAUAUUUCGACCAUACGUCUCACUUCUGUUCCGUUUAGUUACCAUUUCUAAUAUUGCUUUGUGUCAAUCUGAACACCAAAACCUUGCAUGUCCUCGAGUUCAUUUGUUGUAAUUCCAGAUGUCAAUGCGGAUGCUGUUGCGACGAUGACGUCGAGAUCUUGUCCACCAAGCAAGAUAACUGUGUCCUGGACCAUCACCGCCAACAUUUGGAGCCAAAGGCUGAAUUGAGGAGACAGUGGCCGUGGCGGUGUGUGAUGGCCUUGAAUGUCAGCUGCUUCAAGAGGAGCCACCUUGGCCAGGACGGCGCCACUUGGUGCCACCAAUCUCAAGCGGCACACAUAUGAGAGUUCUUUAAACGCAGGAAGGUUGAACGGAACUCGCGUAAAAAAUUUACAGAGCUUGACGAGUGUUAUGGAGUCUCAGGAAGUUGCUGACUUUUUGUUUGUUUCACAAGGACUUUACCAUGCUCGUACCUUUAAGGUGCAGUGGAAAAGCAGCACGUAUCCAUGCGGAAGAACGGACUUGUCGUAAUGGCGUAUUUAUUUGAGCAGUGCUCAGGAGGUCGACCACGUUAUCGAGCCUUCAACACAAAAGGAAGAUCUUGUGGCCGCCCGCACAGCAGAAGGAUAGAACUGUAGGAUCUGAAACGUUUCACUACUUGUUGCUUGUGUUAUCCUUCUGAUGUGGAUGUUGAAGGUUCUCUAAAGAAAAACAAAGGGCUA